GCUGCGUGCCAAUUUUUUGGGUGCGCGCAGGGCAGCCUCUCCUGCCGCGCUACGUGCGAGCGCACGCGUCAUGGGCGCAGCGGGCCCAACCGCACAAACCCUACCCCCAAUCCAUAGCCGCCACUCCCUUCCUCCUUCUCCUUCCUCCCUCGUCUGCCGCCGCCACUCCCUCCCUCCUCAUCGCCCUGCCUCCGCCCUAGGAGCUUCGCCGCCUCCCUCGUGCUCGUCCUCUCAUCUCCCAUGGAGGGGAGGGGUGGGGAUGUAGUGGAAGGAGGAAGCCAGAGAUGUUGCUGCUGCUGACGUCCAUGUAGAUGUUGUUGCUGUGGAUCGAGAAAGCAAAGAAAUUAGGGGGAGGAUGUGAGAGAGAAGGAAGGAGAGGAGAGGUCAGGGAGAGCCCCGGUGUUCUAACCCUACUGGGGCAUCUUUGCUCCAGGGAGAAAGGAGGGGACCAGCGGCACAAGGAGGAGAGGAGGCCAUCGAGGCGAGCGGGGAGGGGGUGGCGGCGUGGGAGAGGAUGGAGCAGGGAGGACAUGAGGCGAAGGGGGAGUGGGGCUCGGGAGCACAUGCCGGCGGCCGGCAGGUCGAAUUGUCGCGCCACCGCGUCGUCGCCUCCUCUGCACCAUGAGGCGCCACCUCUGCCUCCACCCUCCACUAGGAAAGGAGCUCGAGGUGAACAGGCAGUGGGAAGGUGAGAGGAAGCAGGAGCUCAUCUCUCCUCCAAUGGCUGCCUCGUGCAUCUGGAGUAUAAGGAGGACAACACGUGCCUGUUGGAGGCGACUUGAGCAACGCAGGCCAGCGACGAACUAGAUCUGACAUAGAAGACCACGUUCGUCAGAUUCGAUAGUUAUCUUCUUCCAAUGGCUCUAAUGGGAAUAUAUAUGCGUAUAUAUUGAUGCAUCGUUGCCAUGUCUGGCUCUUCAGGAUGUGCACUCUUGUCUCCAUCGUUAUACCUAUUUUGGAAUCCAUGGUAGCAUGCUGUGCUUUGUCGGCACAUUCGUGCAUGUGUGAGGUCGCAGAUGAAGAAGCACCGAAUGAUCAUUAUAUUCUCCUCUGCUCUGAUCUUCUAUUGACAUAUUGUUUUCAGUUGCUGUUUAGUAUGGAUGCCUCCAUGGUUGCAUAGGCAUCCAUGGUUCUGUGAGGAGGUUACCUAUGUCAUUCUGUUUUAUAUAGAUGUCUAAUUAGCUGGUUAUUUGAACAUGAAAAGGAGUACGACUCGGCACAAAAGUCAACCGUGGGGAGGUGCAACAUGGCGUGGCCUCAGCAGCCAAUUAGGUGUCCUCUAUCUUUCCCUAUUUCUUCCUCUGGAACACUGAUUUUGUUUGACUUAUGAAGGCACAUUCAUCCUACAAGAACAAUCAUGAUUUAGAGUAAGACUGCCCUUGCACAUCGGUUUGCUUUCUUACAUUGAUUGUUGUUUUUUAUGCAUUAUAUCAUUCACCUUCUCACAUAAUAGUUUGGUAAAAAAAGAGUGAGCUCACUCCUAAAUUUGCACUAAUUAUAUAUUUAUGGCACUAUUAAUAAUUUGUAUUUGCAUUCUCUGUUGAGUUCGUCGAGUUCCUUUCUCAAUAUGCUUAGAUGCUUUUAUCAAUGUGAAUUGCAUCCAUGGUAGAAAGAAGCAAAAGUGUGAUGUGGCAUAAUCUCCAGCAUGGUAGGGUUGCGUAUCGACCAAAUAUUUGUUCUACAAUUGGUUAGUACAGACUUAUUGGAUCAUAUUUUUCAGAACUAUGUGAACCUUCUGCACAAUGAAUCAUAACCCUGAAUUGUUAUUUCAAAAAAUAUCUGUGAAACCUUACAUUUGUUAGCUGUCAUACAUAUUUUACUGUUCCUGGACAAUUUCUAUUUUUGCUAAAUAUGCUAAUCAGAAGUUUUAUUUAAUCAUGGCAGAAAUUUCGACAGAAUUAGGCCUUUCAGUACUUCACAUUUGUUUAACUAAUGGCCAUUUUCUAUUUUGUUGCUGUUUGGAUUGUUCAGGUAUUGGAAGUUUUGGGUUCCAUGAAAUUAUUGGUGCUUAUCUACAAAGUUUAUUAUGCUUAUCAUUCUAGAUUUUCUGAUUCUCAGUUGAAUAGUACCGUUGAUAAAGCUACACGGUGGAUGCUAUUCAUUAUAUAAGAAUUUGCUGGUGUUUGAUGCAAAAUAUCGGUGGCCAAAAUGUUGUUAUGGUCAGGUCGACCUGAAUAUUAUGUUCAUCUGUCUACACCUCCUCCUGUGGUAUCCAGUUGUUCGAGUACUGGUCACCUCCUCAUGGUAGACGCUUACAAGUGCUCCUGGUUGUUGAUAAUGCCUGAGACAAGUCACUAGCUGAGCCUAAUAAAAUAGUAAAGAAACUUUUUACAACAGUACAAAAAUGUAGAACAAAUCAAGUAGAAGAAGAGACAGAACGCACAAAAACUUUUGAAAGGAAUAUCAGUUUCAUACAUUAUUUGUAGUGCUAAAAUAAACAUACUGCAGGUUCAGGACUAAUUUAUUAUAGGCAAACCUGCACACAUGUGCUACUCUACCCAGGCUUAAUUCGUCCUAGCAAAAGAAAUCACAUCAUGAGCAAAAGAACAAAUUCACUACUAACAUUUCAAAUCAAGAUUUAUCCAUCUAGCAGUCCCAAAAUAUAUUUCUCUUCUCAUUAUUGCAGCAGCCUUUUCUGUACCAGCAAUGUGACACUGCACUACAAUAGAUAGCCUCCAGUAUAUAAUUAUAAUUCUGCGCGCACUUUGGAGCUAUUGGAUGCCUGAAUGCGUCGUGUUUCUCCAUUGUGCCAUGUUAAGACUUGCAUCUUGAGAGGAGGGAAAUAGUUAAGCAGGUUGUAUAGAGUUGCUACCAUACCAUUUCUUUGUGACUGCAUGGUCUCACCAUCAAUUUUCUUAAAAUAUAUUAGCCUCUUGUUCUUGGAAGAAUAGAUUUUCCAUCGCCUCUAUUUUACUUGCUGGGUGGAUUACAUGUUACUUCCUUGGAUGUUUAAAGGUUAUUAUAUCCUUGCUCCACUUUUUAUCGGCAAACAUUCUCUCAUCUUUUGGUAACUUGAGUAAGAUGCAACACACUAAUGCUUUCUUAGUCUGGUUUGUUCUUGCAAAAAAUAAUUGAAGUGUGCAGAUAGGAAGCAUGGAAACACUAAGAAGUUUCAUACGUACUAACAGCUGGAGUGAUUUCAUACCUGUAGUAACCGUCUUAGAAGAAAUAAUUUUUAGCUAUUUCUAAAGAUAUUAGACCAUACAAUUAUUCUUAAGUUAAAAUGUUUGGCACGGACUAACGUGUAUACGACUGGAGUGGUUCCAGAUUUGUUACAAGCUCCUUGUGUUGAGGAACAUCAAAGUGGGGAAGUUUCUAGUAUUUUCGAAUCUAUUAUUCAAAUGCUGAAGUGUAAUUUAUCACAUCCCUGAGAUAUAGGAUAUACACAUUUCACUAUACAGUCACUAAACCUAUGUUAUCAAGUUUUACCUUAGUAGUGUAUCACCAAUGUUUACAACUGUUUCAAAAAUAGAAGCAAUGUGGCUCACACUGAUCAAUCGCAUGUUUUAUCUCAACCAAUUUUUUAAAUUUUGACAUGCUAUUUUGAAGUAUAUAUUGGCAUUAUGCUAAAAAGGGACCUGAGAGGUGAAGUUUUAUUAUCUAUCCUGGUAGAAUAAUCCAAAGAAGAUAUGUUUUACUAACCAAUUUAUAUGCCUAAAGGUGCUGCUAUUGUUAUUAUUUUCUUAAUGGAUGCGCCUAAAUUUGUUUCGGUGCUCUUCUACUAAGAUUGACCAAAUGGGUGUUCUGCUAAAGUAAAAGUCAUAAGACUGAAAUAACAUGGGUCAGCCUUUGUAUGUCUGUUAGUGCUACAAACUAUUUGAAUGAAAGAUCUGACAAUACAUAGCACAUCGUAUGUCCACAGUUGUGAUGAUGGUAGGUGCAGAGUCUUGACUACUGUAGGUUUAUAAGUAGCUUUCUCUGAAUGCUAAAUGAAUGUACCAUGUACCAUAAAUCCACCAUGUACCAUGAUCAUCUGAAUAGUCUUGCUUAAGUUUAUGUUAGCUCCAUAUGCUAAAUGAAUGUUCGCUUGUGUUCAAAUUUCAAGGAAGUGUGCUUCAUGCUUCUGUUUCUGCAAUAUGUUUAAGAUUAUAUGAUUUCAUUUUCCUUCAUUCCCAGUUAUAAAUUUAUUGGCGUCAAAGUAGAGCUUCAGGUUUAUGGUUGAGUAUAUCAUUGCAAAGUACUUUAUGGCUCAGUAUAUCACUACAGGUUCCUUACACCGUCAAAAUUCAAUGUUUUUGUAUUUUUCUCAAUGGAACCAUGUUCUUUGACUAUAAAGUAGCAGAGAUUUAUUUUCUUAUCAAUUCUAAUCCCUUUUUGAUGCAUUGUAGGUUUGCUAUCAAACUCUCAAAAAGGAAAAACAACUUUACUCUGUUUUUUGGAUAACCCUCCUGUAGAGUACCUCGACAGAGACAAAUAUGCCAUCACAGAUAUAUUCGAUUGAUUUUCAUGCAAAACUUGGAGGAUAUUUUUGCAGAUAUUUUGAUGCUCUCAUGGUUAAUCUUUUUCUUGGAACUAUUGGCAUGUAGAGGAGGCUGCGUUUUAUUUGUUGGUUUAUGUGAUUGGCGGGGAUGGAACAAUGAGAGGAGCAGUGGUGAUAUUCGAAGAGUUUAAACGGUGUCGUUUGAGGAUAUCCAUUACAGGGAUCC
Molecule: long non-coding RNA, 4646 nt
Organism: Triticum aestivum (bread wheat)
Lineage: Eukaryota; Viridiplantae; Streptophyta; Magnoliopsida; Poales; Poaceae
Exons: 9
Source: RefSeq, a predicted model, not a curated record